Molecule: ribosomal RNA, 647 nt
Filed under: uncultured fungus
Lineage: Eukaryota; Fungi
Description: eukaryotic LSU rRNA
Rfam family: 5.8S ribosomal RNA (bases 104-257)
Source: RNAcentral
UCAUCUCUUUGACGGGGCCGGGGCCGCGCUUCGCCUUUCAUCACAAACUCUUUUAAAUGUCUUGUAGAAUGUGAAAUGCCUCUUUGUGGGCGAAACUUAAUACAACUUUCAACAACGGAUCUCUUGGCUCUCGCAUCGAUGAAGAACGCAGCGAAAUGCGAUAAGUAAUGUGAAUUGCAGAAUUCAGUGAAUCAUCGAAUCUUUGAACGCACCUUGCGCUCCUUGGUAUUCCGAGGAGCAUGCCUGUUUGAGUGUCAUGAAAUCAUCAACCCCCCUCUCUCUGUCUCUUCGGAGACUUCGGAGGGGUGGCUUGGACUUGGGGAUCUGCUGGCCCUUCGGGAUCGGCUUCCCUUGAAUGCAUUAGCCAGACUUCGGUUCGCAGCGGCUCAGCGGUGUGAUAAUAUCUUCACUGCGGCCGGCUCGGCAGUGUCAAGUUCGGCUUCUAAUCGUCCGUCUCGGACACCUUCAUUGACAAUCUGACCUCAAAUCAGGUAGGACUACCCGCUGAACUUAAGCAUAUCAAUAAGCGGAGGAAAAGAAACUAACAAGGAUUCCCCUAGUAACUGCGAGUGAAGCGGGAAGAGCUCAAAUUUAAAAUCUGGCGGUUUUGCCGUCCGAGUUGUAAUCUGGAGAAGCGUCUUCCGCGC